This 119-nucleotide ribosomal RNA is filed under the name Pteropus alecto (black flying fox). The record is from RNAcentral. Lineage: Eukaryota; Metazoa; Chordata; Mammalia; Chiroptera; Pteropodidae.
GUCUACGGCCAUGACACCCUGAACGUGUCCAAUCUCCUCUGAUCUCGAAAGCUAAGCAGGGUUGGGCCUGGUUAGUACUUGGAUGGGAGACCACCUAGGAAUAUCAGAUGCUGUAGGUA